UACGGAGGAGGCAAGCGUUAUCCGGAAUUAUUGGGCGUAAAGCGUCCGAAGGUGGUGAUUCAAGUCUGCUGUCAAAGGUCGGGGCUUAACCUCGGGAAGGCAGUGGAAACUGGAUAGCUAGAGUGCGGUAGGGGCAGAGGGAAUUCCCGGUGUAGCGGUGAAAUGCGUAGAGAUCGGGAAGAACACCAGUGGCGAAAGCGUUCUGCUGGGCCUGCACUGACACUGAGGGACGAAAGCUAGGGGAGCGAAAGGG
This 253-nucleotide ribosomal RNA is filed under the name uncultured bacterium. Its description in RNAcentral is "partial 16S ribosomal RNA". It matches the Rfam family "Bacterial small subunit ribosomal RNA", at positions 524 to 776 of the family's 1533-position model. The record is from RNAcentral.